AGAGUUUGAUCCUGGCUCAGGAUGAACGCUGGCGGCGUGCUUAACACAUGCAAGUCGAACGGGGGUCAUCGGGUGGAACUUUUCGGAGGGAAGCCUUAUGACUCGAGUGGCGGACGGGUGAGUAACACGUGAGUAACCUGCCUUUUGCUGGGGAAUAACUGUGGGAAACCAUGGCUAAUACCGCAUAUUGUGUCUACAAGGCAUCUUGUGGAUAUGAAAGGAGCAAUCCGGCAGAAGAUGGGCUCGCGUCCGAUUAGGUAGUUGGUGGGGUAAUGGCCUACCAAGCCUGCGAUCGGUAGCCGGACUGAGAGGUCGAACGGCCACAUUGGGACUGAGACACGGCCCAGACUCCUACGGGAGGCAGCAGUGGGGAAUUUUGGGCAAUGGGGGAAACCCUGACCCAGCGACGCCGCGUGAAGGACGAAGGCCUUCGGGUUGUAAACUUCUUUAGGGAGGGACGAAAAUGACGGUACCCUCCAGAAUAAGCCACGGCUAACUACGUGCCAGCAGCCGCGGUAAUACGUAGGUGGCAAGCGUUAUCCCGAUUUACUGGGUGGAAAGGGGCGCGCCGGCCGGCCCUGCCAGUCAGAUGUUGAAGGCUCAAGGCUUAACCUUGGAAAUGUCAUCUGAAACUGUGGGGACUUGAGUAUCAGAGGGGAAAGGUGGAAUUUCUGGGUGGAAGCGGUAAAAUG
RNAcentral lists this ribosomal RNA (692 nucleotides) under uncultured bacterium. Its description in RNAcentral is "bacterial SSU rRNA". It matches the Rfam family "Bacterial small subunit ribosomal RNA", at positions 8 to 688 of the family's 1533-position model. The record is from RNAcentral.